ACUCAAAGGAAUUGACGGGGGCCCACACAAGCGGUGGAGUAUGUGGUUUAAUAAGAAGCAACGCGAAGAACCUUACCAGGGCUUGACAGUCCGGAACCUUUGUGAAAGCAGAGGGGGCCUUUGGGAGCCGGAACACAGGUGGUGCAUGGCUGUUGUCAGCUAGGGUUGUGAGAUGUUGGGGUAAGUCCCGCAACGAGCGCAACCCUCGUCCUUAGUUGCCAGCAUUUUGGAUGGGCACUUUAGGGAGAAUGCCGGUGACAAACCGGAGGAAGGUGGGGAUGACGUCAAGUCAGCAUGCCCCUUACGUCCUGGGCGACACACGUACUACAAUGCUUUGGACAAAGAGCAGUCAACCCAAAGAGGGCGAGCUAAUCUCAUAAAC
Molecule: ribosomal RNA, 382 nt
Rfam family: Bacterial small subunit ribosomal RNA